RNAcentral lists this ribosomal RNA (2900 nucleotides) under Escherichia coli DEC7A. RNAcentral describes it as "bacterial LSU rRNA". It matches the Rfam family "Bacterial large subunit ribosomal RNA". Lineage: Bacteria; Pseudomonadati; Pseudomonadota; Gammaproteobacteria; Enterobacterales; Enterobacteriaceae. The record is from RNAcentral.
UUAAGCGACUAAGCGUACACGGUGGAUGCCCUGGCAGUCAGAGGCGAUGAAGGACGUGCUAAUCUGCGAUAAGCGUCGGUAAGGUGAUAUGAACCGUUAUAACCGGCGAUUUCCGAAUGGGGAAACCCAGUGUGUUUCGACACACUAUCAUUAACUGAAUCCAUGGGUAAUGAGGCGAACCGGGGGAACUGAAACAUCUAAGUACCCCGAGGAAAAGAAAUCAACCGAGAUUCCCCCAGUAGCGGCGAGCGAACGGGGAGCAGCCCAGAGCCUGAAUCAGUGUGUGUGUUAGUGGAAGCGUCUGGAAAGGCGCGCGAUACAGGGUGACAGCCCCGUACACAAAAAUGCACAUGCUGUGAGCUCGAUGAGUAGGGCGGGACACGUGGUAUCCUGUCUGAAUAUGGGGGGACCAUCCUCCAAGGCUAAAUACUCCUGACUGACCGAUAGUGAACCAGUACCGUGAGGGAAAGGCGAAAAGAACCCCGGCGAGGGGAGUGAAAAAGACCUGAAACCGUGUACGUACAAGCAGUGGGAGCACGCUUAGGCGUGUGACUGCGUACCUUUUGUAUAAUGGGUCAGCGACUUAUAUUCUGUAGCAAGGUUAACCGAAUAGGGGAGCCGAAGGGAAACCGAGUCUUAACUGGGCGUUAAGUUGCAGGGUAUAGACCCGAAACCCGGUGAUCUAGCCAUGGGCAGGUUGAAGGUUGGGUAACACUAACUGGAGGACCGAACCGACUAAUGUUGAAAAAUUAGCGGAUGACUUGUGGCUGGGGGUGAAAGGCCAAUCAAACCGGGAGAUAGCUGGUUCUCCCCGAAAGCUAUUUAGGUAGCGCCUCGUGAAUUCAUCUCCGGGGGUAGAGCACUGUUUCGGCAAGGGGGUCAUCCCGACUUACCAACCCGAUGCAAACUGCGAAUACCGGAGAAUGUUAUCACGGGAGACACACGGCGGGUGCUAACGUCCGUCGUGAAGAGGGAAACAACCCAGACCGCCAGCUAAGGUCCCAAAGUCAUGGUUAAGUGGGAAACGAUGUGGGAAGGCCCAGACAGCCAGGAUGUUGGCUUAGAAGCAGCCAUCAUUUAAAGAAAGCGUAAUAGCUCACUGGUCGAGUCGGCCUGCGCGGAAGAUGUAACGGGGCUAAACCAUGCACCGAAGCUGCGGCAGCGACGCUUAUGCGUUGUUGGGUAGGGGAGCGUUCUGUAAGCCUGUGAAGGUGUGCUGUGAGGCAUGCUGGAGGUAUCAGAAGUGCGAAUGCUGACAUAAGUAACGAUAAAGCGGGUGAAAAGCCCGCUCGCCGGAAGACCAAGGGUUCCUGUCCAACGUUAAUCGGGGCAGGGUGAGUCGACCCCUAAGGCGAGGCCGAAAGGCGUAGUCGAUGGGAAACAGGUUAAUAUUCCUGUACUUGGUGUUACUGCGAAGGGGGGACGGAGAAGGCUAUGUUGGCCGGGCGACGGUUGUCCCGGUUUAAGCGUGUAGGCUGGUUUUCCAGGCAAAUCCGGAAAAUCAAGGCUGAGGCGUGAUGACGAGGCACUACGGUGCUGAAGCAACAAAUGCCCUGCUUCCAGGAAAAGCCUCUAAGCAUCAGGUAACAUCAAAUCGUACCCCAAACCGACACAGGUGGUCAGGUAGAGAAUACCAAGGCGCUUGAGAGAACUCGGGUGAAGGAACUAGGCAAAAUGGUGCCGUAACUUCGGGAGAAGGCACGCUGAUAUGUAGGUGAAGCGACUUGCUCGUGGAGCUGAAAUCAGUCGAAGAUACCAGCUGGCUGCAACUGUUUAUUAAAAACACAGCACUGUGCAAACACGAAAGUGGACGUAUACGGUGUGACGCCUGCCCGGUGCCGGAAGGUUAAUUGAUGGGGUCAGCGCAAGCGAAGCUCUUGAUCGAAGCCCCGGUAAACGGCGGCCGUAACUAUAACGGUCCUAAGGUAGCGAAAUUCCUUGUCGGGUAAGUUCCGACCUGCACGAAUGGCGUAAUGAUGGCCAGGCUGUCUCCACCCGAGACUCAGUGAAAUUGAACUCGCUGUGAAGAUGCAGUGUACCCGCGGCAAGACGGAAAGACCCCGUGAACCUUUACUAUAGCUUGACACUGAACAUUGAGCCUUGAUGUGUAGGAUAGGUGGGAGGCUUUGAAGUGUGGACGCCAGUCUGCAUGGAGCCGACCUUGAAAUACCACCCUUUAAUGUUUGAUGUUCUAACGUUGACCCGUAAUCCGGGUUGCGGACAGUGUCUGGUGGGUAGUUUGACUGGGGCGGUCUCCUCCUAAAGAGUAACGGAGGAGCACGAAGGUUGGCUAAUCCUGGUCGGACAUCAGGAGGUUAGUGCAAUGGCAUAAGCCAGCUUGACUGCGAGCGUGACGGCGCGAGCAGGUGCGAAAGCAGGUCAUAGUGAUCCGGUGGUUCUGAAUGGAAGGGCCAUCGCUCAACGGAUAAAAGGUACUCCGGGGAUAACAGGCUGAUACCGCCCAAGAGUUCAUAUCGACGGCGGUGUUUGGCACCUCGAUGUCGGCUCAUCACAUCCUGGGGCUGAAGUAGGUCCCAAGGGUAUGGCUGUUCGCCAUUUAAAGUGGUACGCGAGCUGGGUUUAGAACGUCGUGAGACAGUUCGGUCCCUAUCUGCCGUGGGCGCUGGAGAACUGAGGGGGGCUGCUCCUAGUACGAGAGGACCGGAGUGGACGCAUCACUGGUGUUCGGGUUGUCAUGCCAAUGGCACUGCCCGGUAGCUAAAUGCGGAAGAGAUAAGUGCUGAAAGCAUCUAAGCACGAAACUUGCCCCGAGAUGAGUUCUCCCUGACUCCUUGAGAGUCCUGAAGGAACGUUGAAGACGACGACGUUGAUAGGCCGGGUGUGUAAGCGCAGCGAUGCGUUGAGCUAACCGGUACUAAUGAACCGUGAGGCUUAACCUU